CCUACGGGGGGCAGCAGUAGGGAAUAUUGCUCAAUGGGGGAAACCCUGAAGCAGCAACGCCGCGUGGAGGAUGAAGGUUCUCGGAUUGUAAACUCCUUUUGUUAGAGAAGAUAAUGACGGUAUCUAACGAAUAAGCACCGGCUAACUCCGGGCCAGCAGCCGCGGUAAUACGGAGGGUGCAAGCGUUACUCGGAAUCACUGGGCGGAAAGGGCGCGUAGGCGGGAUCGGAAGGCCGAUGUGAAAGCCUAGGGCUUAACCAUAGGACGGCAUUUGAAACUGGUAGUCUAGAGUAGGGGAGGGGGAGGCGGAAGGCGUGGUGUAGGGGUGAAAGGCGUAGAGAUCAAGAGGAACA
This 353-nucleotide ribosomal RNA is filed under the name uncultured bacterium. RNAcentral describes it as "partial 16S ribosomal RNA". It matches the Rfam family "Bacterial small subunit ribosomal RNA", at positions 338 to 708 of the family's 1533-position model. The record is from RNAcentral.